GCAGUCGAACGGUAGCACAGAGAGCUUGCUCUCGGGUGACGAGUGGCGGACGUUUGAGUAAUGUCUGGGAAACUGCCCGAUGGAGGGGGAUAACUACUGGAAACGGUAGCUAAUACCGCAUAACGUCGCAAGACCAAAGAGGGGGACCUUCGGGCCUCUUGCCAUCGGAUGUGCCCAGAUGGGAUUAGCUUGUAGGUGAGGUAACGGCUCACCUAGGCGACGAUCCCUAGCUGGUCUGAGAGGAUGACCAGCCACACUGGAACUGAGACACGGUCCAGACUCCUACGGGAGGCAGCAGUGGGGAAUAUUGCACAAUGGGGGAAACCCUGAUGCAGCGACGCCGCGUGAACGAAGAAGGUAUUCGUAUCGUAAAGUUCUGUCCUAUGGGAAGAUAAUGACAGUACCAUAGAAGAAAGCUCCGGCUAAAUACGUGCCAGCAGCCGCGGUAAUACGUAUGGAGCGAGCGUUGUCCGGAAUUAUUGGGCGUAAAGGGUACGCAGGCGGUUUAAUAAGUCGAAUGUUAAAGAUCGGGGCUCAACCCCGUAAAGCAUUGGAAACUGAUAAACUUGAGUAGUGGAGAGGAAAGUGGAAUUCCUAGUGUAGUGGUGAAAUACGUAGAUAUUAGGAGGAAUACCAGUAGCGAAGGCGACUUUCUGGACACAAACUGACGCUGAGGUACGAAAGCGUGGGGAGCAAACAG
This 700-nucleotide ribosomal RNA is filed under the name uncultured bacterium. RNAcentral's name for it is "bacterial SSU rRNA". It matches the Rfam family "Bacterial small subunit ribosomal RNA", at positions 57 to 775 of the family's 1533-position model. The record is from RNAcentral.